AUUUAUACAGUGAAACUGCGAAUGGCUCAUUAAAUCAGUUAUCGUUUAUUUGACAGAUCCUUUCUACUUGGAUACCUGUGGAAAAACUAGAGCUAAUACAUGCUAAAAAUCCCGACUUCUGGAAGGGAUGUAUUUAUUAAAUAAAAAAUCAAUGCCUUCGGGCUCUUUGAUGAUUCAUAAUAACUUUUCGAAUCGCAUGGCUUCAUGCCGGCGAUGGUUCAUUCAAAUUUCUGCCCUAUCAACUUUCGAUGGUAGGAUAGUGGCCUACCAUGGUUUCAACGGGUGACGGGGAAUAAGGGUUCGAUUCCGGAGAGGGAGCCUGAGAAACGGCUACCACAUCCAAGGAAGGCAGCAGGCGCGCAAAUUACCCAAUCCUAAUUCAGGGAGGUAGUGACAAUAAAUAACGAUACAGGGCCCAUUGGGUCUUGUAAUUGGAAUGAGUACAAUUUAAAUACCUUAACGAGGAACAAUUGGAGGGCAAGUCUGGUGCCAGCAUCCGCGGUAAUUCCAGCUCCAAUAGCGUAUAUUAAAGUUGUUGCAGUUAAAAAGCUCGUAGUUGAACCUUGGGCUUGGUUGGCCGGUCCGCCUUACGGUGAGUACUGGACCCAACCGAGUCUUUCCUUCUGGGAAACCUUCUGCUCUUUCAGGUAGUUGGGGAACCAGGACUUUUACUUUGAAAAAAUUAGAGUGUUCAGAGCAGGCCUUUGCUCGAAUAUAUUAGCAUGGAAUAAUAGAAUAGGACGUUAUGGUUCUAUUUUGUUGGUUUCUACGACCAUCCUAAUGAUUAAUAGGGACAGUCGGGGGCGUCACUAUUCAAGUGUCAGAGGUGAAAUUCUUGGAUUUAUUGAAGACUAACUACUGCGAAAGCAUUUGCCAAGGACGUUUCUCAUUAAAUCAAGAACGAACAUUAGGGGAGCGUAUGUAUGAUCAUAUACCGUCGUAGUCUUAACCAUAAACUAUGCCAGACUAGGGAUCGGGAAGUUAGAUUCGUUUUUUUGACUCACUGCAGGCCACCUCUACGAGUACAUCUAUAGUCAUUUGG
This 1042-nucleotide ribosomal RNA is filed under the name Nakazawaea sp. RNAcentral's name for it is "partial small subunit ribosomal RNA". It matches the Rfam family "Eukaryotic small subunit ribosomal RNA", at positions 72 to 1111 of the family's 1831-position model. Lineage: Eukaryota; Fungi; Ascomycota; Pichiomycetes; Alaninales; Pachysolenaceae. The record is from RNAcentral.